GAAUGAAUGAAAUGAAAAGCAGGCAGGGAAGGGAAUGAAUGAACUAAGGGAAGAAGGCAGGGAAGGGAAUGAAUGAACUAAGGGAAGCAGGCAGGGAAAGGAAUGAACGAAAUGAAACGGAAGGGAAUGAAUGAACUAAGGGAAGCAGGCAGGGGAAUGAAUGAAUUGAAGCAGAGUGAGUAAAUGCUCUGAAAUGCAGUGAAGGAAGUGUUGGGGAGGGAAAAGAGCAAGAGAUGAGAAUAAGAAAAACAAUUCGGGGCUGGAGAGAUGGCUCAGAGGUUAAGAGCACUGGCUGUUCUUCCAGAGGUCCUGAGUUCAAAUCCCAGCAACCACACGGUGGCUCACAACCAUCUGUAAUGAUAUCUGGUGCCCUCUUCUGGCAUGCAGGGAUACAUGCAGGCAGAAUACUAUAAACAUAAUAAAUAAACAACAUAAUAAAUAAAUAUCUAAAAAAAAGAAAAGAAAAGCAUUAGGUUUCCCAAUGGAAAAGCUGAGCAAAAUUCAGAUCAGUCUGAGAAAAGGAAUAAGAAAAUGAAAACUUUCCCAGGUUUCAGCACUAAAAAAAAAGAAAAGAAAAACUUGCAUUUUUUUUUGUUUGUUUUUAAAUAAGAUAGUCAAAAUGUAGCCGAGCAAGGGAAGGGAGCUAAGAAAAAAGUACUUCCAAUAAGAAAACAUACAAGCAAAAUUAGACAAAAACCCAAAGAACAACAACAACAAAAAUGUAAAAGUAAAAAAGGUUGAAAGUAAUAAAAGGGACUGGGGAGAUGUCAGCAGGAGAGGGUGCUCACCGCCAACCCUCACGCCCUGAGUUCAAUCCCAUGGAAGAAGGGAACCGACUCCGGUAAGUUGUCUUCUGCCUCACGACGCUAUGGUGCAUGCGCACAAAUGUCCUGAAAGCUUGGCCUCGGCGGUCUCAGAUCAGGACAAGAUGGUGCCGGCUGUUGCCUUUAGUCCAUAGCUGCUCAUAUGCCAGAGAAAUUAGGCUGGUCUACCAUGUUCUGCAACUUGUUUGUGCUCUGGGCGCUGUGGGCUUGUCCUGCAGCGAGGACGGCACAUCUCUCCUCGCUCACUGCGAUAGCAGCUACUUCCCCUCCCCAGUCAGAGAGCCGUGCAGCUUAACCUGUUGGCCUUUCCCACCCCAGCAGACAUGUUUUCGUCCUUGUUUGUUUUGCCGUUCCGUGGAUGAAGUGUUGUGUGUGGGUAUGCUCAUUCCAUCAGAGGACAACUUGUCGGGAGUUGGUUCUUUCCGUCCACGGCGUGGGCAGGUAUGCGGGAAAUACCUCUGAGCCAUCCCCUGGUUUGGCGUGGGCAUUGCUCCUCUUUCUGUCUGCACUGUACACAACUAUUCUUUCACUUCCGUCGUGGACUCCAAAGCUCUCCCCCUCUGUCUUUAGAACACAGUCUAGUUUUCCUUAUUCUGAUCCUCCUCUCACAAGCUCACACAGGCAGCUUCUAGCCCUCACGCUUGGAAGUUUUCUGGGUGGCGGAACCGUGGUAGCCGCAGGUUUUCUAGGCAGUUGAGCAAACACACUGAAAGCGAUAGGUGAGCAAGCGGGGAUUCUUCAUACGGACCUCAGGUUGGUUCCUCUUGUGUGGCCCAGGAGGCUUUAGCCCCAGUCCUCCUGCCUCGGCCUCCUAAGAGCUGGGAUUAUGACAUGUACCGCCUCGCUCAGCCAAACAAGUUUAGUAUUACGUUCUAAGUGGGUACCGCGAGAUGAGCACGGCCUGCCCUGUGUUUGUUUCUGUUCUGUGGCGCGGGGGAUCAAAGCAUGCUACCACUGAGCUGCACUCCCAACCCAGCCCCAGAGCCCAUUUCAAAUCCUGCUAAAGGUGAUAUUAAAGAGGGCAAAAGUCAACCAGAAAGUUCAGUUCCUGGGCUGGCAAGAUGGCUCAGUGGGUAAAGGCAUCCGCCGCCGCUGCCACCACCGCCGCCAAGCCUGACACUUGGUGGAGAGGAAGAGUGGUCCUGGCGAGCUGUCCUCUGACCUCUGCGUGUGUGUCCAGCUUCUGCUCCCGCAAGCAUGCACAAUGCACACUAAGUAAAUACUUGAUAAUAAAGUUUUUUACAGUCCCAGUGCUGUGGAGACGGAGACUUCAUUAAACUGUGCUGUGGAAGCCAGCCCCCGGGAGCUGCUUUUCAGCUCCAGUGCUCCUUUCUAAGUUUGUGCCCUCCUGGUAAUAUUUUCAGUAGCCGACUGCUUUAGCACUGUGAACCUGCUUGAGUUUGAAAUUCCUUCAGCCGGCUCUAGUCAAGGAAAUGCUGGGCAGUAGAGGGAGUUGUAGCUGGGGGACUGCUGAUAACAGACGAGCUCUUUGAGAGCAGAGCUCUCGCCCUCCCCGCCGUUUUCUUGGCACCGGAAUAGCUGGGAAGGGGAUAAAAGCUGCAGCAGCAUAAUCCCUAAGAAACCUGCUGGCUGCCUGUUCCGUUUCCCUGUGUGGCCUUUCCGACCUGGUUGCCUUGUGUAAGCAAAGCUGCGCCUGCUGUGGCUUAUUCUGAAUGGAUCAAGACGUGGAAGGUUCUAUUUUUGACAGAGCCAACGAUGAUCUAGUGAGGAAUAGGUGCUCUUACAAUUGAGCUCUGUAUUUAGAAAUCCUUGCCUGCUCCCCGCCCGGGGGAGCCUGUGGUGUUUGCCUUUCAACUCGGACUUUUCCGCAGUCUGUAGCUCCUUUCUUCUAGCUGGAAUCUGUGUUGCGGAGGGCGUUGCUCCAGCUUCAUUAAGGUUACUGAACUACUGGGGAGCAGCUCAUGUUGGCAGCCCUUGGGUGGUAGGCAGGAUGGCUCAGCAGGUUGAACACAAACCUGACAACCUGUGAAGGCGGCAUGUGGUGAUGUCCAUACCUCAGCAUUCCUAGGACAAGAUGGGAGAUGGGAGCAGGAGAAUCCUCUGGAAGCUCGACGACCAGAGUGGCAACCAAGAGAGAUGCUGCCUCAAGCACAUUGAAAGAGAAGGACCAAGAUCUGAAGAUGCCCUCUGACCUCUACAUGCACACCGUGGUCUGUGCACACCCUCACAGACGACCAAAAUAAAAAU
Non-coding RNA from Peromyscus maniculatus bairdii (prairie deer mouse), 3032 nucleotides. Lineage: Eukaryota; Metazoa; Chordata; Mammalia; Rodentia; Cricetidae. The record is from RefSeq and is a predicted model, not a curated record.